RNAcentral lists this ribosomal RNA (332 nucleotides) under uncultured bacterium. Its description in RNAcentral is "bacterial SSU rRNA". It matches the Rfam family "Bacterial small subunit ribosomal RNA", at positions 568 to 898 of the family's 1533-position model. The record is from RNAcentral.
CGCGUAGGCGGUUCGCUAAGUUGAAUGUGAAAACUCUGGGCUUAACCCAGAGCCUGCAUUCAAUACUGGCGGGCUAGAGUUCUGGAGGGGAUAGCGGAAUUCCUGGUGUAGCGGUGAAAUGCGUAGAUAUCAGGAGGAACACCGGUGGCGAAGGCGGCUAUCUGGACAGAGUCUGACGCUGAGGCGCGAAAGCUAGGGGAGCAAACAGGAUUAGAUACCCUGGUAGUCCUAGCCCUAAACGAUGGAUACUUGCUGUGACUGGGAUUGAAUCCAGUCGUGGCGAAGCUAACGCAUUAAGUAUCCCGCCUGGGGAGUACGGUCGCAAGGCUGAA